UAUGUACACUCUCUGUCCAACAAAAGAUGUCUCAACUUUGACUAAAUUUGAAUGCAUCUAUACACUAAGUCAUGUUUAGAUACAUUCAAAUUUAAACAAAUUUGAGACAUUUUUUGUUGGAUGGAGGGAGUACACA
This is a non-coding RNA of Brachypodium distachyon (stiff brome), 136 nucleotides long. The record is from Rfam. NCBI's taxonomy places the organism in Eukaryota, Viridiplantae, Streptophyta, Magnoliopsida, Poales, Poaceae.